Molecule: ribosomal RNA, 636 nt
Filed under: uncultured bacterium
Lineage: Bacteria
Description: bacterial SSU rRNA
Rfam family: Bacterial small subunit ribosomal RNA
Source: RNAcentral
AGAGUUUGAUUCUGGCUCAGGACGAACGCUGGCGGCGUGCCUAAUACAUGCAAGUCGAGCGAGCUUGCCUAGAUGAUUUUAGUGCUUGCACUAAAUGAAACUAGAUACAAGCGAGCGGCGGACGGGUGAGUAACACGUGGGUAACCUGCCCAAGAGACUGGGAUAACACCUGGAAACAGAUGCUAAUACCGGAUAACAACACUAGACGCAUGUCUAGAGUUUGAAAGAUGGUUCUGCUAUCACUCUUGGAUGGACCUGCGGUGCAUUAGCUAGUUGGUAAGGUAACGGCUUACCAAGGCAAUGAUGCAUAGCCGAGUUGAGAGACUGAUCGGCCACAUUGGGACUGAGACACGGCCCAAACUCCUACGGGAGGCAGCAGUAGGGAAUCUUCCACAAUGGACGAAAGUCUGAUGGAGCAACGCCGCGUGAGUGAAGAAGGGUUUCGGCUCGUAAAGCUCUGUUGGUAGUGAAGAAAGAUAGAGGUAGUAACUGGCCUUUAUUUGACGGUAAUUACUUAGAAAGUCACGGCUAACUACGUGCCAGCAGCCGCGGUAAUACGUAGGUGGCAAGCGUUGUCCGGAUUUAUUGGGCGUAAAGCGAGUGCAGGCGGUUCAAUAAGUCUGAUGUGAAAGCCUU